AGCUCCAAUAGCGUAUAUUAAAGUUGUUGCAGUUAAAAAGCUCGUAGUUGGAUUUCGGGAUGAGAAGCAUGGUCUACCGAAAGGUGUGUACUAGGCGGCUCAUUCUUCCUUCUGUAGACCUUUGUGGUUCUUGAUUGGAUUGCAGAGUGGAUGCAGAACGUUUACUUUGAAUAAAUUAGAGUGUUCAAAGCAGGCAUUUGCUUGAAUACAUUAGCAUGGAAUAAUGGAAUAGGACUUUGGUUCUAUUUUGUUGGUUUCUAGGACCGAAGUAAUGAUUAAUAGGGAUAGUUGGGGGCAUUAAUAUUUAAUUGUCAGAGGUGAAAUUCUUGGAUUUAUGAAAGAUUAACUUCUGCGAAAGCAUUUGCCAAGGAUGUUUUCA
RNAcentral lists this ribosomal RNA (379 nucleotides) under uncultured eukaryote. RNAcentral's name for it is "SSU rRNA". It matches the Rfam family "Eukaryotic small subunit ribosomal RNA", at positions 587 to 972 of the family's 1831-position model. The record is from RNAcentral.